GAUCUGGCUCAGGACGAACGCUGGCGGCGCGCCUAACACAUGCAAGUCGAACGAGCGAGAGAGAGCUUGCUUUCUCGAGCGAGUGGCGAACGGGUGAGUAACGCGUGAGGAACCUGCCUCAAAGAGGGGGACAACAGUUGGAAACGACUGCUAAUACCGCAUAAGCCCACGGUGCCGCAUGGCACAGAGGGAAAAGGAGCAAUCCGCUUUGAGAUGGCCUCGCGUCCGAUUAG
Molecule: ribosomal RNA, 233 nt
Filed under: uncultured bacterium
Lineage: Bacteria
Description: partial 16S ribosomal RNA
Rfam family: Bacterial small subunit ribosomal RNA
Source: RNAcentral